GAUGAACGCUGGCGGCGUGCCUAAUACAUGCAAGUCGAGCGAACAGACGAGGAGCUUGCUCCUCUGACGUUAGCGGCGGACGGGUGAGUAACACGUGGAUAACCUACCUAUAAGACUGGGAUAACUUCGGGAAACCGGAGCUAAUACCGGAUAAUAUAUUGAACCGCAUGGUUCAAUAGUGAAAGACGGUUUUGCUGUCACUUAUAGAUGGAUCCGCGCCGCAUUAGCUAGUUGGUAAGGUAACGGCUUACCAAGGCAACGAUGCGUAGCCGACCUGAGAGGGGGAUCGGCCACACGGGAAGUGAGACACGGUCCAGACUCCUACGGGAGGCAGCAGUAGGGAAUCUUCCGCAAUGGGCGAAAGCCUGACGGAGCAACGCCGCGUGAGUGAUGAAGGUCUUCGGAUCGUAAAACUCUGUUAUUAGGGAAGAACAAAUGUGUAAGUAACUAUGCACGUCUUGACGGUACCUAAUCAGAAAGCCACGGCUAACUACGUG
RNAcentral lists this ribosomal RNA (497 nucleotides) under uncultured bacterium. Its description in RNAcentral is "partial 16S ribosomal RNA". It matches the Rfam family "Bacterial small subunit ribosomal RNA", at positions 28 to 507 of the family's 1533-position model. The record is from RNAcentral.